Molecule: ribosomal RNA, 406 nt
Filed under: uncultured bacterium
Lineage: Bacteria
Description: partial 16S ribosomal RNA
Rfam family: Bacterial small subunit ribosomal RNA
Source: RNAcentral
AUUGAACGCUGGCGGCAGGCCUAACACAUGCAAGUCGAGCGAGCGGCGGACGGGGGAGUAAUGCCUAGGAAUCUGCCUGGUAGUGGGGGAGAACGUAGGGAAACUUAAGCUGAUACCGCAUACGAUUGAAUGAGCCGGUGUCGGAUUAGCUAGUUGGCGGGGUAAAGGCACACCAAGGCGACGAUCCGGAGCUGGUCUGAGAGGAUGAUCAGCCACACUGGAACUGAGACACGGUCCAGACUCCUACGGGAGGCAGCAGUGGGGAAUAUUGGACAAUGGGCGCAAGCCUGAUCCAGCCAUACCGCGUGGGUGAAGAAGGCCUUCGGGUUGUAAAGCACUUUUGUUGGGAAAGCGGUACCCAAAGAAUAAGCACCGGCUAACUUCGUGCCAGCCGCCGCGGUAAUAC